This 223-nucleotide long non-coding RNA is filed under the name Homo sapiens (human). Its description in RNAcentral is "non-protein coding lnc-MYLK4-9:1". Lineage: Eukaryota; Metazoa; Chordata; Mammalia; Primates; Hominidae. The record is from RNAcentral.
AAUAGCCAAUGCAAAACAAAAGAAGAUCAAAGUUGGAGGACUCAACAUUCCAAUUUCAAGACUUACUAUAAAACUACAGUAAUCAAAGCAGCAUGAUACUAGCCAAAGAAUAGACAUGUAUAUCAAUGGGAUAGAAUACAGAAUCCAGAAACAGAGCUCCCCAGAUACAGUGAUACAGUUUGGUUCUGUGUCCCCACCCAAAUCUCACCUUGAAUUGUAAUAA